This 486-nucleotide ribosomal RNA is filed under the name uncultured bacterium. Its description in RNAcentral is "partial 16S ribosomal RNA". It matches the Rfam family "Bacterial small subunit ribosomal RNA", at positions 29 to 507 of the family's 1533-position model. The record is from RNAcentral.
AACGAACGCUGGCGGCGCGUCUUAACCAUGCAAGUCGAGCGGCAGGCAGCAAUGCCGCGAGCGGCGGACUGGUGAGUAACACGUGGAUAACGUACCCCGAUGUCCGGGACAGCCUGUAGAAAUAGAGGGUAAUACCGGAUAGAUCACUGUUUACGUGAGGUAGACAGCGGGAAAGGAGCUUCGGCUCCGCGACGGGAUCGGUCUGCGGCCCAUCAGCUGGACGGCGGGGUAAAGGCCCGCCGUGGCGAGGACGGGUAUCCGGCCUGAGAGGGCGGACGGACACAUUGGGACUGAGACACGGCCCAGACUCCUACGGGAGGCAGCAGGUAAGAAUAUUCCGCAAUGGGGGGAACCCUGACGGAGCGACGCCGCGUGAACGAAGAAGGCCGGAAGGUUGUAAAGUUCUUUUCUGUCCGAGGAAUAAGUUUCGGAGGAAAUGCCGGGACGGUGACGGUAGGGCAGGAAUAAGCACCGGCUAAUUACGUG